CACAUUGCCUUUGGGGUAGCCCUGCUCCAUAAGGAGCAGUGCCUCAGCUGUUGCUGUGUACACUGCCGCUUCAAUAAAAGUUGCUAACACCUCUGUCUUGCCCUUGAAUUCUUUCCUGGACAAAGCCAAGAACCCACCUGGGCUGAGACCUAGUUUUUGCAGCUCGCCUAUCCUGCAUCACUAUGAAUGGCUCAAGUGCCAGUAGGGACACAUUUAAAGAUAGGCACACAUCUGAAAUUUCAGCUGGCUAAAGAUUAAAAAUCUGGAUUAAAAAUUAAUUUAUGAUAAAAUGGAGGGCUAAGAAAAAUCUAUCAAGUAGGAAGUAUGUGGCUGAUUUCUGUGGUUGAUUUUUUAGUUAACUCCCAAAGGGCAAUCCUCUCCCUGAGAUGAACUACUCCAGCCCACCCUUACUUCCAACUGGAGGCGAAUUGCUCUUCUCUCUUUGGAACCUUGAAAGGAUUUAGCCCUAUAAGGUUGGAGUUGCUAGGAAGAUACUCAUAGAUAUAUUUGAAAUCUCUCGUGUCACAGGCUUUGAAGAUGGCUUGCUGGUGGACAAAGCAGAAAUAAUAGCAAAGUUACACAAGUUACAUGGCACCUGCACUUGGCUGGAAAACUUGUGGCUUGGGAACUUUCUUGGGAACUUCAUUCCAUAAUAGUGUGUUACGGAUCUGCUCAGAAGAAGACUUCAUCUCCUCAAUUCACCCCUUUUUAUUUGACUUUUAAUGUUAUCUUCUGUUGGAAAUACCUUUCCUGUGAAGUUUCCCCUGCUUGCCAGUGAGAUUUGGAGAACUGACUGUGGCUUAUGUAUGCUUUAAUCUUCA
Symphalangus syndactylus (siamang) is the source of this 821-nucleotide long non-coding RNA. RefSeq lists it as uncharacterized. Lineage: Eukaryota; Metazoa; Chordata; Mammalia; Primates; Hylobatidae. The record is from RefSeq and is a predicted model, not a curated record.